GUACUUACCUGGUAGGGGAGACACCAUGAUCAAGAAGGUGGUUCACCCAGGGUGAGGCUCAGCCAUUGCACUCCGGUUGUGCUGACCUCUGCGAAUUCCCCAAAUGUGGGAAUCUCGACUGCAUAAUUUAGGGGGA
RNAcentral lists this small nuclear RNA (136 nucleotides) under Sinocyclocheilus rhinocerous. RNAcentral's name for it is "U1 spliceosomal RNA (ENSSRHG00000032646.1)". It matches the Rfam family "U1 spliceosomal RNA". Rfam says of the family: U1 is a small nuclear RNA (snRNA) component of the spliceosome (involved in pre-mRNA splicing). Its 5' end forms complementary base pairs with the 5' splice junction, thus defining the 5' donor site of an intron. Lineage: Eukaryota; Metazoa; Chordata; Actinopteri; Cypriniformes; Cyprinidae. The record is from Rfam by way of RNAcentral.